UACGAGGGGGGCAAGUGUUGUUCGGAAUUACUGGGCGUAAAGGGUGCGUAGGCGGCCCGUUAAGUCAGUGGUGAAAGCCUCCAGCUCAACUGGAGAACUGCCAUUGAUACUGACGGGCUUGAGUACAGACGAGGUUGGCGGAAUUGAUUGUGUGGCGGUGAAAUGCAUAGAUACAAUCAAGAACACCGAUUGCGUAGGCAGCUAACUAGGCUGUAACUGACGCUGAGGCACGAAAGCGUGGGGAGCGAACAGG
This 253-nucleotide ribosomal RNA is filed under the name uncultured prokaryote. Its description in RNAcentral is "partial 16S ribosomal RNA". It matches the Rfam family "Bacterial small subunit ribosomal RNA", at positions 524 to 776 of the family's 1533-position model. The record is from RNAcentral.